Solanum tuberosum (potato) is the source of this 451-nucleotide long non-coding RNA. RefSeq lists it as uncharacterized. The transcript is spliced from 2 exons. Lineage: Eukaryota; Viridiplantae; Streptophyta; Magnoliopsida; Solanales; Solanaceae. The record is from RefSeq and is a predicted model, not a curated record.
UAAGAUCUUGAUGGAUUCGAAUCAGAUUCUGAUGAAGAUGAGAUUGUUGUUGACCUUCAACCUUAUGUUGAUAAACUUAGAGAUCAUCGCAUCUCAAAGGACAAUCCACAAUAGCAGAAAUCACUGAGAGUUUGUGGAAAUUUUGUUGGAAGUGGUGGCCUCGUAGGUGCAACAUCUUCGUCUUUUUAGAGUUAACAUGCUGCCGAGCAAUUAACCAUGGAUCUCCAGUUGAUCAGUUAGCGGAAGCUGGCCUAACACCAUCUCACAUUGUAGCAACAAUAUUUGACAUACUUGGACAAACCAUAGGGGGUUUUAGAGGUCAUGACCAAGUACACAAAUGUUGUCCACAAAUGUGACUUUUAGGUACUCAUUUUGGUGGAUUAGGCAGACUUAAUUGUCAAGUCACAAGUGUUCCAGAUGCAUGUAAUAGAAACUGGUCAUUUUGUAUUGA